CUCCCAGCAAUCCAUGCCCGCAUAGACGGCUCGCGUUGAUUUAAGUCGACAGACGAUAAGCGGCCUUUCCCAGGCAACCAACUCCGACCUUUCGAGGACUUGGAAUCUGUGCUGACGGCGGACAAAAGCCCUGAUCUCGAUGCAGGCCGUGAAAACCCAGUAGCCAUAUUUGAAAGCCCACCGCUCCAGCUCAUGCGCCGUUCACUUGUUGAGUCGGAUAGAUCGGCGUUCAAGGUGUUGAGGGGCGGAGGUGGGAGCAGUAUUCCAUCGUUGUCGUUAGUGGGUUCUUGGGCAGGAAGAGGAGCGGACACGUUCCUAUUCGACGGGAGAACGCCUAGAGAAUUUGCUGAAAGGUGCUGGGCAGAGGUAGCAUGACGAAGGCUACGGCCUGUGGAGGUUUUGUUUUGCUGCGGGUGUAGUUGACGCUGGUCGCGGACAGGAGUUUCGUGCGGAGGAGGGGCUUUUUGAAGGGCAGAUUGGCGGGAAACUUGCACGUCCUGGUCGGAGUUAUCUUUGGAGGAACCCAGCGAGAAGAGAGAGGAGAGCCGCUUGGCAGAUUUCACUGGUAUGGAUAACAUUGCUUAUUUGACUAUGGGUGAGGAAUUAUUGAAUAUAAGGUAGGACUGUGGAAGAGAAGGCAAGGAGGCGGUGGCACAUCGAAAACGAAGCACAAGGCAAUAGUGCCAAAACGUCACUGAAACAUCCAAUCGGGGCAGCAGGGGCCAAAAGAGAACAGAAAAGAAGUUUCAAGAUCAUAAGAUAUAAAGGACCGAUGGAAAAUAAAGCAAGGGACGCAGAGUCGGUUUCCCAGGAUGUACGGUGACUCUGAAGUUGGAAGAGGAGGAGGCAGAAGUCGGAAGAAACAAUGGUAUAAAAAAAUCGCAAAUGAACAACAAACAGCGGGCCCCAAGCCGUUUGUCCCAGGACCAGAACCACCUCUUACCAGCAAAUCGGGAUCCUUGGGCUUUCUUAGUUUCUUUUAGGCCCUCUUUACUACUCCACUUGACUAGCCCCGCCUCAAACACUGCCUAGAUACAUUUUUCUCUCGUAUUCCCGCACAUUACCUCCUUGGGAAUCCACUUGUUACUGAGCUUCAGCUUCUUCCUCCUCCUCCAGUCCUUCCUCCUUUUCUUCUUUUCUGACACUUGAUACAUCAGCUGAUUGAAUAGUUACGGGAUUUUUUAUUUAAGUUUCUCGACUCCCGGAACACGAAUGAUAAAAGGGUGUCCAGGAUUUGGCCAUCCGGAUCCGUUGGUCGACAAGUCAACAAAAUUCAAGCUUUUAUUCGAUGGACUUCCCGACUUAGCCUAAAAUUUAAAGAAAAUAAAUGGGGGCAAAAGAUUUAAAAAUAAAUGACC
RNAcentral lists this small RNA (1358 nucleotides) under Histoplasma capsulatum var. duboisii H88. RNAcentral's name for it is "Histoplasma capsulatum H88 hypothetical RNA". The record is from RNAcentral. Lineage: Eukaryota; Fungi; Ascomycota; Eurotiomycetes; Onygenales; Ajellomycetaceae.